GACGAACGCUGGCGGCGUGCUUAACACAUGCAAGUCGAACGGAAAGGCCCUGCUUUCGUGGGGUGCUCGAGUGGCGAACGGGUGAGAAACACGAGAGUAACCUGCUCUUGACUUUGGGAUAACUUCAGGAAACUGGGGAUAAUACCGGAUAGGAGCUCCUGCUGCAUGGUGGGGGUUGGAAAGUUUCGGCGGUUGGGGAUGGACUCGCGGCUUAUCAGCUUGUUGGUGGGGUAGUGGCUUACCAAGGCAUUGACGGGUAGCCGGCCUGAGAGGGUGACCGGCCACAUUGGGACUGAGAUACGGCCCAGACUCCUACGGGAGGCAGCAGUGGGGAAUAUUGCACAAUGGGCGGAAGCCUGAUGCAGCAACGCCGCGUGCGGGAUGACGGCCUUCGGGUUGUAAACCGCUUUCGCCUGUGACGAAGCGUGAGUGACGGUAAUGGGUAAAGAAGCACCGGCUAACUACGUG
RNAcentral lists this ribosomal RNA (468 nucleotides) under uncultured bacterium. Its description in RNAcentral is "partial 16S ribosomal RNA". It matches the Rfam family "Bacterial small subunit ribosomal RNA", at positions 28 to 507 of the family's 1533-position model. The record is from RNAcentral.